RNAcentral lists this transfer RNA (55 nucleotides) under Melecta chinensis. RNAcentral describes it as "tRNA-Glu". The record is from RNAcentral. Lineage: Eukaryota; Metazoa; Arthropoda; Insecta; Hymenoptera; Apidae.
AAUUUAUUAGUUAAAAAAUAACAUUAUAUUUUCAAUAUAAAAUUAAUUAUAUUAA